Molecule: transfer RNA, 74 nt
Filed under: Chitinophaga terrae (ex Kim and Jung 2007)
Lineage: Bacteria; Pseudomonadati; Bacteroidota; Chitinophagia; Chitinophagales; Chitinophagaceae
Also listed under: 3 other names
Description: tRNA-Pro
Rfam family: tRNA
About the family: Transfer RNA (tRNA) molecules are approximately 80 nucleotides in length.
Source: RNAcentral
CGGGACGUAGCGCAGCCCGGUAGCGCACUAGCAUGGGGUGCUAGGGGUCGCUAGUUCGAAUCUAGUCGUCCCGA